UCACAAAAUCUAAACCCUAAC
Molecule: non-coding RNA, 21 nt
Filed under: Arabidopsis thaliana (thale cress)
Lineage: Eukaryota; Viridiplantae; Streptophyta; Magnoliopsida; Brassicales; Brassicaceae
Source: RNAcentral